Molecule: long non-coding RNA, 1483 nt
Organism: Hippocampus comes (tiger tail seahorse)
Lineage: Eukaryota; Metazoa; Chordata; Actinopteri; Syngnathiformes; Syngnathidae
Exons: 2
Source: RefSeq, a predicted model, not a curated record
AGUUGAGAGGAAUAUAAGCAGCUAUUGAUAUUGAUGCGUUCAGGGGUCAUGGGACAAAAUAGAAUUUAUUGCUUUAACGCAAAGUAUUAUAUUUUACAGUGCUUUAAUCGUAUAUAAGCAGAGCUAUUACUAUCACGCGAUUACUAGACACAUUUCCAUGAUCAUUAAACUCUUUAAUCUAUCACCACUAAUGUUUCAUUUCCGGUUUCGUCUCAGGUUUAAAAUAAUAUAAUAUGCAUUAGUUUCAUGGAGUGGCCAGCGUAUAACCAACCUAAAGCUUCAAAAGGGACUCUCUUUGUGCACUCAUGUGCGAUCUUCUGAUAUUAUGUUUCUUUUGGCUGUGGUUUUGCCAGCUUUAAAGAGCUUUGUAUUUGAAACGUCAUGUGAGUCACAUGUGGACCUCAGCACCCGCUUCGAAACACACCACAACAGUGCUCGCAAAGACCAGACAACAAAGCAAUCAAUAAAUUACAAAUAUAUACUCCACGGUAAAGUACCCCCUUUGCUCCCUUAGGCCAAUUUUUCCCAACGUUUAGAAUUUGGAUUAGAUAACCUUAAUUUGUCCCAUAAUGGCGAAUUGUGCAAUUAUUAUGUAUGUGUCUGUCUAUCUGUCUGUCUGUGUCUCUUAUCUCAUGCAGCCAUUUUACAUAAAAUUGUCACAGCAUACCACUAAAUAAAAUGAUGAUGUUGUCUCAAUUUACUCACAGAUUCACUUACCGGUACUCACUGUGAAAUCUGGGUCUUUUAAAUGCAUUCACCGACAGCAAAAGCUGUAGAUGUCAAAGAUCCAUUUUUACUCGGUUGGCUGUGAAUAAAUUCACUCAUUCACUGCCACUGACAGCUAUACUGUAUGUCAAAAAUCCAUUUUUACUAGGCUGCUGCCAGUGAAUGACUACACUGAACUCAAAGCUGAUGUAAUCACAAAGCCAUUACUUUUUCUGUUGUACGAAUGUCAACUUGUGGAUACAUAGUUCUUGUCCCCUCUGCAUGGUCUGCCAUGGUGUAGAAUAUUUUAUUCUUCUGCCUUUCAUGAAACAUGCUGGUGUAGAUGACCAACAAAUAAUCUAUCGUAAUCUUUGAACAAGAACUGAUGAAGCCUGCAAGGAUGAGAGGCAAAGUGGCUUCUAAAAAAACAUUAACAGGCAAGUUGCAAUGGAUUCAACGACCAGAGAAUUCAAUGACAUGGACAAAUGAGUAUAUUCACAACCAACAGGGGAACUAUUUUCAUUUUUUAUUGUAUUAGCCAGAAUACAGGUGAGCAUCCUGGAUGAAAAAAGAUAAAUUGUGGUGACAGACAGAACUAAAACAUUGCAUCUUGAUUUGAAUAUGAAAUGUAAUUUCCAUAGCAGUUGUAGUUUAAUGAAUGCUGCCAACUAAUAUCAGGGUGAUCCAUGUCCAAACAUGCCAUUAUAUAACUGAGAGCAUUGCAAUCACGUGGGAAAAGAUAAGCGUGAUCUUUGUUUUGGACAAUGAUCUUAAAAAA